This 57-nucleotide transfer RNA is filed under the name Tigriopus kingsejongensis. RNAcentral's name for it is "tRNA-Ser". The record is from RNAcentral. Lineage: Eukaryota; Metazoa; Arthropoda; Copepoda; Harpacticoida; Harpacticidae.
GAAAUUGUACCCGGCUUAUUUUGAAAAUAAACUUUAGGGGGACUCCCCUCAAUUUUG